UACGUAGGCAGCAAGCGUUGUUCGGAGUUACUGGGCGUAAAGGGUGCGUAGGCGGCUUUUUAAGUUUGGUGUGAAAUCUCCCGGCUCAACUGGGAGGGUGCGCCGAAUACUGAGAGGCUAGAGUGCGGGAGAGGAAAGUGGAAUUCCUGGUGUAGCGGUGAAAUUCGUAGAUAUCAGGAGGAACACCGGUGGCGAAAGCGGCUCCUGGCCCGACACUGACGCUCAUGUACGAAAGCGUGGGGAGCAAACAGGGA
RNAcentral lists this ribosomal RNA (254 nucleotides) under uncultured bacterium. RNAcentral's name for it is "partial 16S ribosomal RNA". It matches the Rfam family "Bacterial small subunit ribosomal RNA", at positions 524 to 778 of the family's 1533-position model. The record is from RNAcentral.